RNAcentral lists this ribosomal RNA (253 nucleotides) under uncultured bacterium. RNAcentral describes it as "partial 16S ribosomal RNA". It matches the Rfam family "Bacterial small subunit ribosomal RNA", at positions 524 to 776 of the family's 1533-position model. The record is from RNAcentral.
UACGUAGGGUGCAAGCGUUGUCCGGAAUUAUUGGGCGUAAAGAGCUCGUAGGCGGUCUGUCGCGUCGGCUGUGAAAACCCGGAGCUCAACUCCGGGCCUGCAGUCGAUACGGGCAAACUGGAGUGUUGCAGGGGAGACUGGAAUUCCUGGUGUAGCGGUGAAAUGCGCAGAUAUCAGGAGGAACACCAAUGGCGAAGGCAGCACUCUGGGACGUGACUGACGCUGAGACGCGAAAGCGUGGGGAGCAAACAGG